GGCGAUGUAGCUCAGAUGGUGAGAGCGCACGACUCAUAAUCGUGAGGUCGGGGGUUCGAUCCCCCCCAUCGCUACUA
RNAcentral lists this transfer RNA (77 nucleotides) under Corynebacterium jeikeium. RNAcentral's name for it is "tRNA-Met". It matches the Rfam family "tRNA". From Rfam's summary of the family: Transfer RNA (tRNA) molecules are approximately 80 nucleotides in length. Their secondary structure includes four short double-helical elements and three loops (D, anti-codon, and T loops). RNAcentral also lists the same sequence under 45 other names. The record is from RNAcentral. Lineage: Bacteria; Bacillati; Actinomycetota; Actinomycetes; Mycobacteriales; Corynebacteriaceae.